Micropterus dolomieu (smallmouth bass) is the source of this 727-nucleotide long non-coding RNA. RefSeq lists it as uncharacterized. The record is from RefSeq and is a predicted model, not a curated record. NCBI's taxonomy places the organism in Eukaryota, Metazoa, Chordata, Actinopteri, Centrarchiformes, Centrarchidae. The transcript is spliced from 5 exons.
CGACAACACCGGAGCUCCCGGUAGAUACUGCUUGUGAGCAGCACACUGGCGCACUAGGCUGUAACUCAGGAAAAGACUGGGCCUCUUUCGGACUGAAACUGGGGGCUCCAUACAUCUACCCACAAAGAGACAGCUCCUCCACUUAGAGUCUCAACUCCCACCGAUUCCCACCCAUCUUCCCACCAGCAGACACUCGUCUCCUCUUCUCUCCUACAUCCUCUAGUGGGACACAGAGGGAAUUAAAGGUGUCCUCUCCCACCUGGAAAAAAAAGGUCUGCGUUUUCUUUGGAGAUGGAAAAGGAAACAAAUGACUCAUUGACAUUGCUGCUGACUCACACAUAGCUCAAGAUGUCUUAAGUCCCUAGCACUGAUGAUAUUCAUGCAGCACACACAAAUCAGGGCGCCGGCAUCUCAGAAUAUCAAUGGCUUAAUGAGGCGAGGGCUCUUUCUGAUGUGCCGCAACAUUGACUCUUUGAGGGGAACACGGCGAGUGAAGCGACUCUGUGAAGAGAUAACAACGACCCCCGAUGGACUGUUGGCCAUCUCGGAGCAUGCUCAGUAGUGCCUGACAUAAUGGCUGCCUGUAAUGAUAUAAGACAUGUCUGUGUAUGAGGAUCCUUACGCCUUUUGUCAACGCUGUAUCAUAACAUUUGAAAGGCUACUGAGGGGUUUUGCUUUAGGGUUAUUCUUGUUCAAGAUCUAAUAAAUUGAACUGAUUUUCAGUCUU